RNAcentral lists this ribosomal RNA (468 nucleotides) under uncultured bacterium. Its description in RNAcentral is "partial 16S ribosomal RNA". It matches the Rfam family "Bacterial small subunit ribosomal RNA", at positions 28 to 507 of the family's 1533-position model. The record is from RNAcentral.
GACGAACGCUGGCGGCGUGCUUAACACAUGCCAGUCGAACGGAAAGGCCCUGCUUUUGUGGGGUGCUCGAGUGGCGAACGGGUGAUUAACACGUGAGUAACCUGCCCUUGACUUUGAGAUAACUUCAGGAAACUGGGGCUAAUACCGGAUAGGAGCUCCUGCUCCAUGGUGGGGGUUGGAAAGUUUCGGCGGGUGGGGCUGUGCUCGCGGCUUCUCAGCUUGUUGUUAGGGGAGUGGCUGACCAAGGCUUUGACGGGUAGCCGGCCUGCGGGGGGGACCGGCCACAAUGGGACUGCGGGACGGCCCAGACGCCUACGGGGGGCAGCAGGGGGGAAUAUUUCACAAUGGGGGGAAGCCUGAUGCAGCAACGCUGCGGGCGGGAGGACGGCCUUCGGGGUGUAAACCGCUUCCGCCUGUGACGAAGCGUGAGUGACGGUAACGGGUAAAGAAGCACCGGCUAACUACGUG